GAUGAACGCUGGCGGCGUGCCUAAUACAUGCAAGUCGAGCGAACAGACGAGGAGCUUGCUCCUUUGACGUUAGCGGCGGACGGGUGAAUAACACGUGGGUAACCUACCUAUAAGACUGGGAUAACUUCGGGAAACCGGAGCUAAUACCGGAUAAUAUUUCGAACCGCAUGGUUCGAUAGUGAAAGAUGGCUCUGCUAUCACUUAUAGAUGGACCUGCGCCGUAUUAGCUAGUUGGUAAGGUAACGGCUUACCAAGGCAACGAUACGUAGCCGACCUGAGAGGGUGAUCGGCCACACUGGAACUGAGACACGGUCCAGACUCCUACGGGAGGCAGCAGUAGGGAAUCUUCCGCAAUGGGCGAAAGCCUGACGGAGCAACGCCGCGUGAGUGAUGAAGGUCUUCGGAUCGUAAAACUCUGUUAUUAGGGAAGAACAAACGUGUAAGUAACUGUGCACGUCUUGACGGUACCUAAUCAGAAAGCCACGGCUAACCACGUG
Molecule: ribosomal RNA, 497 nt
Filed under: uncultured bacterium
Lineage: Bacteria
Description: partial 16S ribosomal RNA
Rfam family: Bacterial small subunit ribosomal RNA
Source: RNAcentral